Long non-coding RNA from Bradysia coprophila, 154 nucleotides. The record is from RefSeq and is a predicted model, not a curated record. Lineage: Eukaryota; Metazoa; Arthropoda; Insecta; Diptera; Sciaridae.
CACUGAAGGUAAUGCAAAUCCACAAAUACUCAUGGAACCCAAGUUUUUGUGGUGAAUUUAUUGUAUAUCGAUACACAUCCGUACAACAUGUUGUAAAUAUAUGUAUUGGCGACAUACGUAACUCACCACAACUUGGUAAAAAUAGGGAAUAUGU